This 46-nucleotide non-coding RNA is filed under the name Trichobilharzia regenti. The record is from RNAcentral. Lineage: Eukaryota; Metazoa; Platyhelminthes; Trematoda; Strigeidida; Schistosomatidae.
GUACUGCUGAAGAGUCCAAAACCGGGGCGAAACAGCUGUCUAGUAU